CCUACGGGAGGCUGCAGUGAGGAAUAUUGGACAAUGGACGGAAGUCUGAACCAGCCACGCCGCGUGCAGGAAGACGGCUCUAUGAGUUGUAAACUGCUUUUGUACAAGGGUAAACCUGAAUACGUGUAUUCAGCUGAAAGUACUGUACGAAUAAGGAUCGGCUAACUCCGGGCCAGCAGCCGCGGUAAUACGGAGGAUCCAAGCGUUAUCCGGAUUUAUUGGGUUUAAAGGGUGCGUAGGCGGAUUGAUAAGUUAGAGGUGAAAUGUCCGAGCUUAACUCGGGAACUGCCCCUAAUACUGUUGGUCUAGAGAGUAGAUGCGGUAGGCGGAAUGUAUGGUGUAGCGGUGAAAUGCUUAGAGAUCAGACAGAACACCGAUUGCGAAGGCAGCUUACCAAUCUAUAUCUGACGUUGAGGCACGAAAGCGUGGGGAGCAAACAGGAUUAGAUACCCGUGUAGUC
This 460-nucleotide ribosomal RNA is filed under the name uncultured bacterium. Its description in RNAcentral is "partial 16S ribosomal RNA". It matches the Rfam family "Bacterial small subunit ribosomal RNA", at positions 338 to 795 of the family's 1533-position model. The record is from RNAcentral.